RNAcentral lists this unclassified non-coding RNA (642 nucleotides) under Hevea brasiliensis (rubber tree). Lineage: Eukaryota; Viridiplantae; Streptophyta; Magnoliopsida; Malpighiales; Euphorbiaceae. The record is from RNAcentral.
CAUUUUUAGACAUCAUUAGAAUUAAACAAUUUAUAGCUGAAAUAAUUAUGUAGAUAUAGUAGAAAGCUAACCUUAUUUUGGGCAAACUAAUCUUUUAGACUAUAAAUUUAACAACAAAUCUAGCAUGAAUAAUAAUUUUUUUCAACAAAUAUGCCAAAAAAAGUACAUAAUGAAAAGAAAUAGCAAAUAACUCACCUUUUGCAAGAAGUAGCUUUGGAGAAUAGAGGUAUUUAAUGGUGAUCUUAACUUAGAAAAUAAUGAGGGAGAGAAUUUGUCGAAGGACGGACAAAUUUUUGGGUGAAAUUUUGAGAAAAUAUGAAAGAAAUAGCUGUUUUGGAAGGCUAGGGUAGAGCGACUAGACAAUGAAAAGAAAAGAAAAAAAAAACCGAUUGCAUGUGAUUUGUGGCAAAUGCAUAUUUGUGCUAACGGCCAUUACCGUUAUUUAACGGUAAAUAAUGGCCGUUGCUUUUACGUAAUGGUGGUAACGGCUGUUACACCUAUAAUUCAAAAUUUGCUUAUAUAUAUCGGUUCUUCAAAAACUUGUAAAUGAAUGACCGUUAUUUGAAACCAUGAUGAGGACAUUAAAAUCAAAUCAAUUAAUUAAUUUAAUUAAAAAUUAAAACAAAUAACCUUUGUGUUAUU